Pteropus alecto (black flying fox) is the source of this 1237-nucleotide long non-coding RNA. RefSeq lists it as uncharacterized. The record is from RefSeq and is a predicted model, not a curated record. The transcript is spliced from 2 exons. Lineage: Eukaryota; Metazoa; Chordata; Mammalia; Chiroptera; Pteropodidae.
GAAAAUUGGUUCAUUAUUUUAAACUAAGUAUAUACCUAAAUUUUUCUCUUUUAAUUUCUUAUCUGGCAGAUAUCUAUAGAUAUAUCUUAUAUAAACAGAACCUUUUGAGUCUCAAUAAUUUUCAAGACUGUAAAGGAGUCCUGAUACCAAUAUGAUUAACAAUCAUUCUUCUAAAUCUUCUCUUUUCUAGGUUAAACAUCUCCAUUGAACAUCACAUGAAUUCUAGUUAAUUCAUUAUCUUAAUUACCUUGCAGAUUGAGUGAAUCCCUUUUAAACUGUUGUUGCCAGGAUUUCUUAGGAUACUCCAGAUGUAUGGUGCAGGGUUUGGUGGAGAUUAUUAUAUCUAUUCUUUUAAUCUCAGCAGUUCUAAUAAGGCAAAGAAUGUAAAAGGGAAAGUCUGCCUGGCAUUUUCUAAUGUAAAGAAUCUAUUCUUUCAUUUUAGAACUAUAUACAAUGUUGACAUAGAGAAGAAAUCUUCGGAGAAUAAAGUUGUAGUUAUUUCUUGGAUUUCUGUCAAUGAAUUUUAUAGCAGAGCACAUGGUAAAUUUCUAAUCAGUCAGCCUUAAAAAUGUCUUCUCUAUUGUGUAUAAGCUGCUAAUUAUCCUUUUCAUUUACUUCAGAAUUAAUAAAAUUUAAAAUAUCAAAAGAGUAGAUGACAGCAUCUUUAAUCUCAUAAAUUUAUGUAGAACAGGGAUGUUUUAACAAAAAACAUUUUGUGGGUUGCAACAUUAUUAUUUUCAAAAACGUGAUACUUCCUACAAAUAAUAAGAAAAGCUUUUCAUUUUUUGUUAGUUUUUGUUGCAGGAGUUGCUGUGCUAUAGAGGUUGGGUGAAGAAUGUCUUUGCCUUUGUGCUUUAUUAAGAGAGUAACUUUUCCCUUUAUGCUACCCCACCCCAGUCUCCUUUCAGUACAUUUGAUGAAUUUCCAAUGAACGUGGGUUUUUUUUUUCUAUGUUCACUUGGACUAUACAAAAUAGAGUAAAUUUUCAAUACUCUUUAAAUAUUUUUAGUAGGUGCUCCCCCACAAAACAAGCAAAAUAUAAAUUAGACCUACAUAGGUAUAUUUUUGAAAUGCUUUUUAAUCAUUUUUAUUACCUAGUUUUUAAAUACUAAUUUCUGUUUGUCACAAUUACCUUAUAUUAACUACUACUAUAGUUAAAUUAAAUACAGAGAUAGAAAAAUCCCCUGAUAAAAUGUAAGAAUUGUUUCAAUUUAUUAAUAAAAAUAAUGAGAAAUAA